This 441-nucleotide ribosomal RNA is filed under the name Triticum aestivum (bread wheat). Its description in RNAcentral is "partial small subunit ribosomal RNA". The record is from RNAcentral. Lineage: Eukaryota; Viridiplantae; Streptophyta; Magnoliopsida; Poales; Poaceae.
AUGCAGUUACAGCUCGAGGAUGAAAGGAUAAGAAAGAAGAAGUAUGAAUUCCAGAAGAGAAAGGAAUUGGAACAACGUCAAAAGGCUGCAUGUGUGCUAGCAAGUGAUGUUGAUGUUGCUCAAGCUCCUAAAUGUGUAGGCGAUGAAGGUGGUGACGCGGGUUUUUCAACUGUUCAUGUCGGAUCUCAUGGAAGUGACAUGCCUGUGAAGACAAACUUGAUGCAAACUCGUUUGACGCAAGUGUUUGAUAGUGGAGUUAAGGAGAAGAAAGUUGUUUUGAAGAGGAAGAUGUCAGAUCGAAAUCCUGAUGGCACACAGAGGCGUAGUCCACGUGUGAAAGCUGUUUCCCAACCUGGUAAUAGCAAACAUGAUGCAGAUAGUUUUGCUGUGAAAAUUGGUCCAAGCAAACUUGGUGGCUCCUCUAUUCGUCGGAGUCCAUGA